AACACAUGCAAGUCGAACGGCGCGUAGCAAUACGUCAGUGGCAGACGGGUGAGUAACACGUGGGAACGUACCUCUUGGUUCGGAACAACACAGGGAAACUUGUGCUAAUACCGGAUAAGCCCUUACGGGGAAAGAUUUAUCGCCGAGAGAUCGGCCCGCGUCUGAUUAGCUAGUUGGUGGGGUAAUGGCCUACCAAGGCGACGAUCAGUAGCUGGUCUGAGAGGAUGAUCAGCCACAUUGGGACUGAGACACGGCCCAAACUCCUACGGGAGGCAGCAGUGGGGAAUAUUGGACAAUGGGGGCAACCCUGAUCCAGCCAUGCCGCGUGAGUGAUGAAGGCCCUAGGGUUGUAAAGCUCUUUUGUGCGGGAAGAUAAUGACGGUACCGCAAGAAUAAGCCCCGGCUAACUUCGUGCCAGCAGCCGCGGUAAUAC
This 433-nucleotide ribosomal RNA is filed under the name uncultured soil bacterium. Its description in RNAcentral is "bacterial SSU rRNA". It matches the Rfam family "Bacterial small subunit ribosomal RNA", at positions 50 to 526 of the family's 1533-position model. The record is from RNAcentral.